Long non-coding RNA from Cannabis sativa, 261 nucleotides. RefSeq lists it as uncharacterized. The transcript is spliced from 2 exons. The record is from RefSeq and is a predicted model, not a curated record. Lineage: Eukaryota; Viridiplantae; Streptophyta; Magnoliopsida; Rosales; Cannabaceae.
GAAUGGGAAAUUUGAUUUUCUAUGCUUAGAAAAUCAAAAAAUUUGAUUUUUAAACCAAUAAUUAAAACCCUAAAAAAACUAUACCUUUUUUUUCAAAACCCCAAAAAUACCCCCAAACUAAAACUAUCUCUCUUUCUCUCUCUAUCUAGCCGGUCCCAAUAAUCCCACACCCCAGGUCCGAUGGUCGGACCAUGGGGUCCGACCAUCGGACCUCUCUCUUCCCCUCUCUCUCAAAUCGCAGGAAAAAAAAAAAAAUUAAAA